Molecule: long non-coding RNA, 537 nt
Filed under: Ananas comosus (pineapple)
Lineage: Eukaryota; Viridiplantae; Streptophyta; Magnoliopsida; Poales; Bromeliaceae
Description: long non-coding RNA (ACOM_LNC012902)
Source: RNAcentral
AAGGCCGUAAAUGCUCCACUUUUAUUACUUGGUUCACCGUAAUUUCACUUCCGGUCGAAAUAUUGUAAUUAACUUCGGCACUGCCAAACAAACAGCAAAAGUGAAAGAACUUUAAUUCUUUAAGAAUACAAAUAAACAAAUUCGAUCUAAACUUUACUUUCAGUGAGAUAAACCAGCUGGCCCUGUGUGAACAAACAAGGAGUUUCUUGGCACUAUUCUUAGUUACUUCAAAAUUUUCAAAAAGCUAAAAAUCAAAGCAUCAUAAUCACAUCCUCCAUCAAUUUCCAAUUAUAUGAACUUCCACUAUUCUAUUUGUUUCCCCAUCAAUUUUGCUAUUGAUGAGUAGUGAUAGUUUCCUCAGCUGGUGAGAGACUCACAAAGCAAAAGGCUUCUAGAACUUUGACUAAUAUUGAUUAGCAAAACACAAAGUGGGUCAAUGAAAAUGAUUUGCAAUUAGGCAUAUCUCAAAAUUUUCAAACCAAAAAAUGGACUUGGAAAAUAGACACAAGUUAAGAUCAGAUAUUAGCUGACCCCACC